CCUACGGGAGGCUGCAGUGGGGAAUAUUGCACAAUGGGCGAAAGCCUGAUGGUGCGACGCCGCGUGGGGGAAGAAGGUCUUCGGAUUGUAAACCCCUGUCAUGUAGGAGCAAGACGCAAGUUUGAUAGUACUACAAGAGGAAGAGACGGCAAACUCUGUGCCAGCAGCCGCGGUAAUACAGAGGUCUCAAGCGUUGUUCGGAAUCACUGGGCGUAAAGGGUACGUAGGCUGCCGGAUAAGUCGUGCGUGAAAGGCAGGGGCUCAACCUCUGGAGUGCGCAUGAUACUGUUUGGCUGGAGUAAUGGAGGGGGAACCGGAAUUCUUGGUGUAGCAGUGAAAUGCGUAGAUAUCAAGAAGAAGACUCGUGGCGAAGGCGGGUUCCUGGACAUUUACUGACGCUGAGGUACGAAGGCUAGGGUAGCGAAAGGGAUUAGAUACCC
Molecule: ribosomal RNA, 440 nt
Filed under: uncultured bacterium
Lineage: Bacteria
Description: bacterial SSU rRNA
Rfam family: Bacterial small subunit ribosomal RNA
Source: RNAcentral